ACGCUGUAUAAAACUUAAUAAUAUUAUUGUUAUUAUUCUAUUAUCACGCUGUGUUAACCGUGUGGAUUUGUUCAAAAAUAACUUCGCUGAAGCUCCAUUUAAAGUUUACGAAACGCGUCCGAUUCAGUGCCUUUUCCAUACUAUUCUGUUUGGACUUUGAAAUAUUUUAAUACAAUAUUAUUUAUCGUAUAGAUGAUUCCGGGCGAACGAAAAGUAAAAUUGUUAUUGUGCGAUAUUCUAUAAAUUUGUUAAACUGCAGUCCUCCGGCUACUUCGGAAGUACCUAAUUAUAGUUGUUUGAUGGACACAGCUGAAUACAAUAAUUAUCUAGUGGC
Cinara cedri is the source of this 334-nucleotide non-coding RNA. The record is from the annotation of a GenBank genome assembly. NCBI's taxonomy places the organism in Eukaryota, Metazoa, Arthropoda, Insecta, Hemiptera, Aphididae.